RNAcentral lists this ribosomal RNA (204 nucleotides) under uncultured bacterium. Its description in RNAcentral is "partial 16S ribosomal RNA". It matches the Rfam family "Bacterial small subunit ribosomal RNA", at positions 28 to 234 of the family's 1533-position model. The record is from RNAcentral.
GACGAACGCUGGCGGCGUGCUUAACACAUGCAAGUCGAGCGGUAAGGCCCCUUCGGGGGUACACGAGCGGCGAACGGGUGAGUAACACGUGAGCAACCUACCCUUCACUUCGGGAUAAGCCUCGGAAACGGGGUCUAAUACCGGAUAUCACCAGUUUCCUCAUGGUUUCUGGUUGAAAGUUCUGGCGGUGGGGGAGUGGCUCGC